CUCCGUGUGCUUUUUGAACCUUCCGCCUGUGGCAGCCUCCCUUCCUAGCCAUGGAAGAGCAAGCCUUGUUGAUUGGCAAAGCUGACACCAAGUCGUUGGUAUCAGGUUCUGACUUGCAGGAGGGACAGUC
This is a small nucleolar RNA of Sorex araneus (European shrew), 130 nucleotides long. The record is from Ensembl. Lineage: Eukaryota; Metazoa; Chordata; Mammalia; Eulipotyphla; Soricidae.